This 73-nucleotide transfer RNA is filed under the name Ovis aries (sheep). It matches the Rfam family "tRNA". Rfam says of the family: Transfer RNA (tRNA) molecules are approximately 80 nucleotides in length. Their secondary structure includes four short double-helical elements and three loops (D, anti-codon, and T loops). Further hydrogen bonds mediate the characteristic L-shaped molecular structure. tRNAs have two regions of fundamental functional importance: the anti-codon, which is responsible for specific mRNA codon recognition, and the 3' end, to which the tRNAs corresponding amino acid is attached (by aminoacyl-tRNA synthetases). tRNAs cope with the degeneracy of the genetic code in two manners: having more than one tRNA (with a specific anti-codon) for a particular amino acid; and 'wobble' base-pairing, i.e. permitting non-standard base-pairing at the 3rd anti-codon position. The record is from Rfam by way of RNAcentral. Lineage: Eukaryota; Metazoa; Chordata; Mammalia; Artiodactyla; Bovidae.
UCCCAGGUGGCUCAGAGGGUAAAGCGUCCGCCUGCAAUGUGGGGGGACCUGGGUUCAAUCCCUGGGUCGGGAA